This is a non-coding RNA of Nothobranchius furzeri (turquoise killifish), 1703 nucleotides long. The record is from RefSeq and is a predicted model, not a curated record. NCBI's taxonomy places the organism in Eukaryota, Metazoa, Chordata, Actinopteri, Cyprinodontiformes, Nothobranchiidae.
ACCACUUCCCACUGAGUCUGGGCAGGCAUGCAGGAGUCACAGUGCGCCAGAGACUCUGUGGACUGUGGGAACGUGUUUGGGACGCUGUAACUGAAGCACUGGCCCAGGCAAGCUCUGUAACAAGGAAGAGAGAGAGUGUGAUCGCCACCGUGCCUCAGGCCUGUCUCUGUGAUGGACUGGCACUCUGUCUAGGGUAUCCCCGCCAGAUUGCCCAUUGACCGCUGGAGAUAGGCACCAGCCCCCCCACGACCCUACGUGGACAAAGCGGGUUCAGACAAUGGAUGGAUGGAUUAUCCAAGCUGUUAAGGCAUAAUCAGCAUAUUAUAGAAUAUUUAAUUACAUUUCUCUAGACUGAGCUUUCAUCCUGACCUGUUUUGUAUAGAGCGAGGCUGACAUCCCGAGUGCCCGACGAUCUGUGUGAUGUUCUUGGCUUCGCACCAGGCGCUCUUGUCGGGGAACAGCGCCAGGCGGUUGAUGUGUGCAGGCGCCGCCGCUGAAUGCAGUGCAAACAGUGUGCAGCAAAUCUGAAUCCUCUGCCACAUGACUGCACCUACAGGAGAAGGAAAAUCACAGUGUGUUGCUGCUCUGAUGACUGUUGGAGAGAAAAGCCACCUGAUUUCUGCAGGUCAGACACCCUCAGCUUCAACAUCCACACGUAGUUUGAGUUUUGCAUAUUCUGCUGUAAAAGUCUGACAUCUUUUGUGUGAUUAUCGACUCGUCUGAUGUAAUCCAUCGGUCGGGACCAGCUCUUUUGAAUCAAUUAAAGAGACUUUUAAAUACCUUCAUUUAAGAUCAACACACACACACACACACACACACACACACACACACACACACACACACACACACACACACACACACAGAAAAUACACCAAAGCUGAGAGGAGAACUUGAACUUCCUGACUUAAUCGGUCUGUUGACAACUCAGUUUCACUCUCUUCUUUAAAAAUGCCUCAACCACUUACGUCAUUUACAACCUGCAAAUUCAUUUUCUCCUGCUGCUUAUAAAAAUUGCUCACUAACACUGGCUGUUUAACACACUUUUUAGCACUUCCAUCUGGCUCUGACUGACACUGUUUAAAAAGAGCGAACACUUGCCUUCAGCUAUAAUUUGCCCAGAUUUAAAACACAAAGGCUCUCUUUGAUGUUUUGUUUUGAAGGGAAAAGGAGUUGUUUUAAUAAAAUGCUUUUUUUUUCAUUCUUUGUUCUGACAAAGUUUCAAAGUCCAGACACAUAUUUUCUCCACAAAGCGUGAACAGCAUUGGCAGAUACUGGUGUUUCUCCAUGGAAGAUGAAGCAGCCUGCCAACUCCAGAGUGAACUUGCAGCCAGGAAAUGGAAAAUGAAGCAAACACGCUCAUGAGAAACAUACAUAAUAAAUUCAGGUGACUUUCAGGUGAAUCUAAGCCCAAUUUUAAGCUACAGAUGCCUGAAGUAUCCCCUGUUAUAUUCAUCUGCACUUCAGAGGCUAGUAUCAAUCUUUGGGAUACAAACAGUGUUAGGCCACGGUUUCAACAGUUAAUGUUUACUUUUAGAGCUUAGUUGGGCUUAACAUGUGUUUGAAUUUGAUCUGCUUGUCCAGCUGCUGCUAACUGGAAGGUGAAAUGUACAAACCCACAACAAAAACAACAAGAUGUUGGCAGGUUUUGUUUUUAUGGAGCUAAAAUACACAAUUAUUAAAGUGGAAUUUGAGAAAAAUCUAAA